This 474-nucleotide ribosomal RNA is filed under the name uncultured soil bacterium. Its description in RNAcentral is "bacterial SSU rRNA". It matches the Rfam family "Bacterial small subunit ribosomal RNA", at positions 26 to 518 of the family's 1533-position model. The record is from RNAcentral.
AGGACGAACGCUGGCGGCGUGCUUAACACAUGCAAGUCGAGCGGUAAGGCCUUUCGGGGUACACGAGCGGCGAACGGGUGAGUAACACGUGGGUGAUCUGCCCUGCACUUCGGGAUAAGCCUGGGAAACUGGGUCUAAUACCGGAUAUGACCUCCUAUCGCAUGGUGGGUGGUGGAAAGAUUUAUCGGUGCAGGAUGGGCCCGCGGCCUAUCAGCUUGUUGGUGGGGUAAUGGCCUACCAAGGCGACGACGGGUAGCCGACCUGAGAGGGUGACCGGCCACACUGGGACUGAGACACGGCCCAGACUCCUACGGGAGGCAGCAGUGGGGAAUAUUGCACAAUGGGCGCAAGCCUGAUGCAGCAACGCCGCGUGAGGGACGACGGCCUUCGGGUUGUAAACCUCUUUUAGUAGGUAAGAAGCGAAAGUGACGGUACCUGCAGAAAAGCAACCGGCUAACACGUGCCAGCAGCCGC